AGCAAAGCUCUGCCCCGGGGGGCAUUACAAGUCUUAGGCUAAUAAAUGUCAGGCUGGACUUUUUUGGAUUGCAAGUAACAAAAACAUAAACUAAGUUAAAACAAUAAGAAAUCAUUGUAAAAAAUACUGGUUGCCACAAGGAAUCUGGAACAGGCAGGACUGUAUCACAGGAACCAAUGUCACCAAUAGCCUCCGACCCUUCUUGGCCUUUCAGUUCUGGAGGGUCCAGUUUUGUCCUUGUGCUGAGGACCUCUCCGUGUCCCUAUCUCUAGCUCUGUCUUUGUAUUAGCCUCUCCUCCACGUGAAGGGAAAUAGGGUCAUAUAAAAGGUUCCCAACUUUAUAGUACUUUGCAAUUUUUCCCUGGGGAGAAAUUGUCUUUUUCACUUCUAGUUUCAAAAUUCCCCAAGGAGGUCGCUGAUUGGACUAAAAUGUGUCAGCUCUUCACUCCAGGACCAAUCCCCUGUGGCAAGGUGGGGGAGUGGGAUUUGAGAAGGGCUGUGACUGGCCCAGUUUAGGUCAGAGACGCCUUCCCCACUCGCCCACCCCCACCUCGGAGACAAACGGCUCUUCCGAGAGAAAAAGUAAAGGCAGAGAUGUCCCAAUUCGCUCAGUUUCCAUUAACUUUAAGCAGAAGUUUUGCCUGUGGAAAGAAGAUAUUCUGAUGGCACAGAGACUGAGGAGAUUAAAUGGCUUUCACAUCACCGUGCAAGAUGUCACUCAAUGAAUAUCUUGAUAACCUGAUUUCCAGAGCCACAUGAGCUGUAUGCUUCACUCUGUGCAGUGAGCGAGGUGCCAAUUUACUCUGGGGCCCUUCCAUUCCCU
RNAcentral lists this long non-coding RNA (823 nucleotides) under Heterocephalus glaber (naked mole-rat). RNAcentral describes it as "lncRNA (ENSHGLG00000026136.2)". Lineage: Eukaryota; Metazoa; Chordata; Mammalia; Rodentia; Bathyergidae. The record is from RNAcentral.